Molecule: long non-coding RNA, 766 nt
Organism: Episyrphus balteatus (marmalade hoverfly)
Lineage: Eukaryota; Metazoa; Arthropoda; Insecta; Diptera; Syrphidae
Exons: 2
Source: RefSeq, a predicted model, not a curated record
GGACGGAAGGAACUAGCGCCGCGUUGUUGUGAGAAAUGACAACAGAAAUGUCAAGCUGUCAAGCCUGACAUUUUUUUUUUUUUUUGUAAACAAACACUUUUCUUUCACAUUACAGUGGUCGAUUAUUUUUUGAAAAAAGUCACAUUUAAGACAUUUAUAUUCAUAAAAAGUGAAUUAAAUAUCAGAAUGUUAAAAAAAACGUUCAUGUAAUUCAAGUAAACAAGUGCGGUGUCGUGUUAUUUGCAUAAAUUUGUAUAUUUUACAAAGGGUAUUCAGAACUUAACAUUUUGUCGUUAUUUCUGUCGUCGGUCUCUAUCCCCGUUGUGUUUGGAAACCUCAAAGUCAUUUUGUCGGUCGCAUCUCGGGCUGCGCAAAAAUGAACCAAAAAAAAAAAAACAAAAAACCUUGCGUGAAAAGUUGAAGAUCAAAAAAGACAAAAUGAUUCCAACUGCUGGCGGCAAGUCACAACAACAACCGAACCAGGAUCUAAGAAGAAGGCUGAACAUGAAUCAGAACCAACAAAAUUACAUAACAACAGCAGUGUCACCACCAGCAAAAGCAGCAGGAGAAUAAAGAUAAAGUCAUACUACGUAGAUCAUCAUCUGACCUCCUAGAACCUAGAUGAAAGUCUAACGAUUAGAUUAAAUGGUAGAAGAAGUUAUAUUAAUAAUUAAUUAUAACUAUAAGAAGAAAGAAAUAAUAUCGCUUUAUACAAAUAAUCAUUGAAAUAAAAAUGUAUAUACAUUUGUAUGUACAUACAAAAUAA